ACUUUAAAAGCCACGCGACCAUGAAACGGACAGGUGUUGCUUUUUUGUAACCUUCCUCCCCCCAAAAUAAAAACUUAGCCUUGCGUUAUCGACGACUUUAUCAGCUUCGGAAACCACAAAGAGGGGCAGGCAGGUGGAGGAGCUAGCGACGCUAUCUCGCUUUCCCAGCCCUUUAGACAAAAGGGAAAGUAAGGGCUUAGCUAUUAUUAGAACACGGAGAACCCCAGUUUAAAAAUACAACACUUCGCUCCGACGUGAUUGUCGUAGUUUAAUGGGAAAUUUUGGUCACAUAUCUUCCCGAUACAGUCAUUGUAAGUGGGGUUGGGGGGAGUGGCGGGGGGGAAGCGAGACACCUGCUCCAGCUGACCAGCUAGCAUCAGCGAGGCGGAGGGGGCUCGCUAACCCGGAGCUAGCACCUGACUCGCGAGUUUGAUUUCAACAUUUCGAUCCAAAAACCCAUGGCCUCAAAGUACAAUCGCAUCGGUCGGCGUUAGGCAUACGGUCUCCACGCCGCGGACCAGGGGAGCCUAGGCGGCGUUAGCACGCAAAGCUAACACGUUACAAAGAGGCAGGCUCGCUAGCAAAAACUGCUACCAGCCACACAGCCAGCGGAGCGAGCCUCCAGUGGACAAAAAAAAAGAAGAAAAAAAACCCCAACAACUCCCAUGCACCGCGUUCACGUCUUAAAGAAAUAAGAGGAAGCAUUUGAAUUAGAAGGAAACUAACGAAUGGGAGUAAAAUCAAAGGUUGUUUGCAAACCUGCUUGUGGAGCGGCGGAUCCCGCUGCCUCCAAAGGCGUCCACUUGCCCGAGGUGACCGGACUCGGCCCGCGCUGACAUCCCGUCGUAGGGAAAGAGUGCCUCCAUCUGCCCUGAGAGAUCUACAAGCACCCAGCCUGGGGAUGUCGUUGGUGAUGAGCUCCCACAAGUACCUGGGCUGUGGUCUGCUGCCGAUCCGGGGGUCCGACUGGACCGCAUGGAUGCAUCACUGGGAGGAUGAGGAAGGCCUGAGAGUGGCGGGCAGAGGUCAGUGCAGAAAAUCUGGCUAGGAGGAGGAUCGACAAACCUGAAAAUAUCACAGAGUUAUGGUGCACAUAAGUGCCGAGUGAGGAUCGUGGGGGGAGUCGCCUCCCUGUGGACUGACUUGGGGGGGGGAUGAGAUACACUUUGAGUGCAGCCAUCUGCAGUAACCUGUUGGAAAUGCGGCACUCACUGUGUCCAGGUGGAUGCGCUGAUGCUUGGCUCUGUCGCUGGAGUUGCUAAAGGCCUUGAAGCAUCCUGGAUGCUGGCACAGGAUUAGGAUUGUUCAGCUGUGGACUGUCGUCACCUUUUUUGGAAGAGCCUCCUUGAAUGCUCGCAUCUUGCCGGUACAGCGAUACCGCCGGCUUGACGUCCCGCUUCCCAUUUGUCAACACCUUCCUGUGGAGGCUCAGGCUCGCGACGGGGACAUGCCACAUGGCGACACCAGGAGCUGGCAACCCUUUCCGCUCAUGGCCGAGUGUUCAGAGGGAGCUCAUAUGAAAUCCGGCGCCUUUUAGGUUCGGCGUGCUGCUUUUUGGCUCAUACCUGCCAGGUGAAGAGGAAGAAUGAUGACACUGGAAAAAGUAAUAUUAAGGUUGGGGGUAGUAAUGGUACACCGAUGGAUUGUCAGCCAUGGGAGUUCAUGGAGAAUCUCGGGAACAAAGUUGGGAAUGCCCACACAUUCGGAAAAGAGCCAAUACAGCGCUGCCAGAGAGAUGAAGACGAGUGUGCAGGAGAUGUUCUUCUGAGCAUCUUCCAUCUCCAUCCAUCAAUCCAACGCGGACACCUCUGACAACCUUUACGACGCGAGCAGUCUUUCCAGUCGGCUACAACGUCCCUCGACGCCACCCUGCCGCGAGUCUCUCUGCGAGGGAGAAAAUGAAGAAAGACGAAAAGAAAAAAAAAGGUCAAAGCAAUUUAUAUGUGACACAUAGACUUUUGAUCGCUUUGUCAUCGCCUCGGGGGUUGAGCCCGGCCUCUUUCACCGCUGCUUGCACACUUAUUGAGACAGACAGAUGGACGCGCGUGCACACACGUCGACUGCCGUUUGCGGGAGGAGGUGAGCAAGACGAUACCGUUAAACCUUAAAAAAAAAACAAAA
Molecule: long non-coding RNA, 2121 nt
Organism: Hippocampus zosterae (dwarf seahorse)
Lineage: Eukaryota; Metazoa; Chordata; Actinopteri; Syngnathiformes; Syngnathidae
Exons: 10
Source: RefSeq, a predicted model, not a curated record